This 392-nucleotide ribosomal RNA is filed under the name uncultured bacterium. RNAcentral describes it as "partial 16S ribosomal RNA". It matches the Rfam family "Bacterial small subunit ribosomal RNA", at positions 523 to 918 of the family's 1533-position model. The record is from RNAcentral.
AUACGGAGGAUCCGAGCGUUAUCCGGAUUUAUUGGGUUUAAAGGGUGCGCAGGCGGCCAUUUAAGUCAGCGGUUAAAUCGUGGGGCUCAACCCCAUUCUGCCGUUGAUACUGGGUGGCUUGAUUGCGGUCGAGGUUGGCGGAAUUCGUUGUGUAGCGGUGAAAUGCAUAGAUAUGACGAAGAACACCGAUUGCGUAGGCAGCUGACCAGACCGCAAAUGACGCUCAUGCACGAAAGUGCGGGGAUCGAACAGGAUUAGAUACCCUGGUAGUCCGCACAGUAAACGAUGAAUACUUGUUUUCGGCGAUAUAAUGUCGGAGGCAAAGCGAAAGCGAUAAGUAUUCCACCUGGGGAGUACGCCGGCCACGGUGAAACUUAAAGGAAUUGACGGGG